This 968-nucleotide ribosomal RNA is filed under the name Salmonella enterica. Its description in RNAcentral is "partial 23S ribosomal RNA". It matches the Rfam family "Bacterial large subunit ribosomal RNA", at positions 1951 to 2925 of the family's 2925-position model. The record is from RNAcentral. Lineage: Bacteria; Pseudomonadati; Pseudomonadota; Gammaproteobacteria; Enterobacterales; Enterobacteriaceae.
CUAAGGUAGCGAAAUUCCUUGUCAGGUAAAUUCUGACCCGCACGAAUGGCGUAACGACUUGGGCGCUGUCUCAACGAGAGAUCCGGUGAAAUUUUAAUACCUGUGAAGAUGCAGGUUACCCGCGACAAGACGGAAAGACCCCAUGGAGCUUUACUGCAGCUUGAUAUUGAAUUUGGGUACGAUCUGUACAGGAUAGGUGGGAGCCUUUGAAACGUGAGCGCCAGCUUGCGUGGAGGCACCGUUGGGAUACCACCCUGAUCGUAUCUAGGUUCUAACCUGGUACCGUAAUCCGGUGCGGGGACAGUGUCAGGUGGGCAGUUUGACUGGGGCGGUCGCCUCCUAAAGAGUAACGGAGGCGCCCAAAGGUUCCCUCAGAAUGGUUGGAAAUCAUUCGAAGAGUGCAAAGGCAUAAGGGAGCUUGACUGCGAGACCUACAAGUCGAGCAGGGACGAAAGUCGGGCUUAGUGAUCCGGUGGUACCGCAUGGAAGGGCCAUCGCUCAACGGAUAAAAGCUACCCUGGGGAUAACAGGCUUAUCUCCCCCAAGAGUCCACAUCGACGGGGAGGUUUGGCACCUCGAUGUCGGCUCAUCGCAUCCUGGGGCUGAAGUAGGUCCCAAGGGUUGGGCUGUUCGCCCAUUAAAGCGGUACGCGAGCUGGGUUCAGAACGUCGUGAGACAGUUCGGUCCCUAUCUGUCGUGGGCGUAGGAAAUUUGAGAGGAGCUGUCCUUAGUACGAGAGGACCGGGAUGGACGUACCGCUGGUGUACCAGUUGUUCCGCCAGGAGCACCGCUGGGUAGCUAUGUACGGAAGGGAUAAGCGCUGAAAGCAUCUAAGCGUGAAGCCCCCCUCAAGAUGAGAUUUCCCAGUAUGUAAGACCCCUUGAAGACGACGAGGUAGAUAGGCUGGGGGUGGAAGUGCAGCAAUGCAUGGAGCUGACCAGUACUAAUCGGUCGAGGGCUUAUCCAAG